CCUACGGGAGGCAGCAGCUAAGAAUCUUCCGCAAUGGACGAAAGUCUGACGGAGCGACGCCGUGUGAAUGAAGAAGGCCGAAAGGUUGUAAAAUUCUUUUGCAGAUGAAGAAUAAGGAUAAGAGGGAAUGCUUGUCCGAUGACGGUAGUUAUGCGAAUAAGCCCCGGCUAAUUACGUGCCAGCAGCCGCGGUAACACGUAAGGGGCGAGCGUUGUUCGGAAUUAUUGGGCGUAAAGGGCAUGUAGGCGGUUAGGUAAGCCUGAUGUGAAAUCUACGAGCUUAACUCGUAAACUGCAUGGGGUACUGCUUGACUUGAAUCACGGAGGGGAAACCGGAAGUCCAAGUGUAGGGGUGGAAUCUGUAGAUAUUUGGAAGAACACCGGUGGCGAAGGCGGGUUUCUGGCCGAUGAUUGACGCUGAGAUGCGAAGGUGCGGGGAGCAAACAGGAUUAGAUACCCCGGUAGUC
Molecule: ribosomal RNA, 466 nt
Filed under: uncultured Treponema sp.
Lineage: Bacteria; Pseudomonadati; Spirochaetota; Spirochaetia; Treponematales; Treponemataceae
Description: bacterial SSU rRNA
Rfam family: Bacterial small subunit ribosomal RNA
Source: RNAcentral